AUUGCAGGCGAGGAUGCCGUAAAAGGGCGGUCUGAGCAUCCCGCUCGACCGGACCUCUCAAAUGAAGCGCGCAAAACUCAAGUCCAAUGCCAAAACUUCAAAUCACCAUCACAAUUCUUCUUCUUCUUUGAAAUCGUUCAUGGAACCCCCUGCUAACUUCUUUCCCUCGAAGCACGAGUUCCUCAGGCUCAUCGUCGUCGUUACAUUCGCAUCAGCAGUUGCUUGGACCUGCAGUCUCUUCUUCACGUCUGUUGUUGAUUCCCCAACUAAGCCAUUUUGCGAUAGCAACGUAGAGUUUCCGGAUACGUUUUCCGAUGAUUGUGAGCCUUGCCCAAGUAAUGGAGCAUGUCAUGAUGGCAAAUUGGAGUGUCUCCAGGGUUACCGAAAGCAUGGGAAGUUGUGUGUAGAAGAUGGAGAUAUUAACAGAUCAGCUAAAAAAAUUUCAGAGAAAGUAGAAUGUAGCCUAUGUGAAGAUUAUGCUCAAUAUUUGUGCUAUGGAAUCGGAUCAGUCUGGGUUGAAGAGGAUGAAAUAUGGAAUCGCUUUGGUAAUUUUGAGCUUAUGGAAAAUGUUCUUCUGGAUAAUGCACUUUAUAAUUAUACAAAACAAAGGGCAAUUGAGACAAUGGCUAAAUUAAUGGAGACAAGGAAAAAUUCUCUUGGGAUGAAGGAGUUUAAAUGUCCAGACUUAUUGGUGGAGCAUUUCAAGCCAUAUACUUGUCGCAUUCAUCAGUGGGUCUCACAGCACAUUCUAGUUUUUUUGCCGAUUUGUGCCAUGCUUGUUGGAUGCACAUUCUUCGUCUGGAAAAUCCAUUGGAAGAUACGCAUGUCAAGAAGAGUUGAAGAGCUUUACAACCAGGUCUGUGAUAUACUUGAAGAGAAUGCAUUGAUGUCAAAGAAUGUUAAUGGCGAAUGUGAGCCUUGGGUUGUUGCCUCUAGAUUACGAGAUCACCUACUUUUGCCAAGAGAGCGGAAGGACCCUUUGUUAUGGAAAAAGGUUGAAGAGUUGGUUCAAGAAGAUUCUCGAGUAGAUCGCUAUCCAAAGCUGGUGAAGGGCGAAUCCAAAGUGGUAUGGGAAUGGCAAGUUGAAGGCUCCCUAAGCUCCUCAAAGAUAAAGAGAAAAAUAGAUGCAAGCAAAAUGGAGGUCAGUGAAGGUGCAGACCUAAGUUAUCAACAACAUUCCGUUCCAAAGACUGAGCCUAAGGAACUACUAUUUUGACACAAGAUCUUUAAAUAACGACUUUAGUUUCUACUAUGUUGGCUGAAACAACUUGUGUAUCAGCCGAAGGCAAGUGCUACCUUGGUUAUAUAGAGAUAGAUGGUUUUACAGCGUGCAAGUUGUAGAUCCGUUGGACAUGUCUAAACUCGGGGAUGUGCUUACCGCGGACAAGUCCUCGAGACCAGUAGAUCUUCUGUCUAAUGGAGAAGCAGUAGUGUGGUGUCCAUAUAUUAAAUUACUGUUUGUUCAUCUUUCUUGGCUCAAGAAAGAAUGUCCCUUCUUAGAAUUAGUGUAUUGUGUGUUAAGCAUAGAUAUAGAUGUAUAUGAUUACUGCCCUUUUUUGGCAAGUCAAAAUAGGUCCCAGUAAUUCACAAACUUGCGUCCAUUUCAGCCAAGAUUAAAGACGCAUGGUUGUUGCAUCGUUACACAUUGUACAUAAAUGGUUGAUUUGAUGGGCUUAGAGAUUUCGAGCCCAAAUCCGGAGAUUGCGUUGUUCCGAAGACUUCUCAAUAACUAAUACGAUGGUGAUCGCCAUGACUCAAGCGAAGUCAGAGGAAAAAAUGACGUGACUGGGGAGGCAGUAUUUUAUGGCAUGUGUAACCAGAUCAGGACAGGACUUGCUAUGUCGGCAAGCAUUGGGUUUUCUUUAAUUUAAACGUCUUUCCUUGAUUGAAACUUGCGUUUAAUAUUAAUAAAUGACUUUUACGUGA
Neltuma alba is the source of this 1926-nucleotide RNA transcript. RefSeq lists it as uncharacterized. The record is from RefSeq and is a predicted model, not a curated record. The transcript is spliced from 11 exons. NCBI's taxonomy places the organism in Eukaryota, Viridiplantae, Streptophyta, Magnoliopsida, Fabales, Fabaceae.